AGAGUUGAUCAUGGCUCAGGACGAACGCUGGCGGCGUGCUUAACACAUGCAAGUCGAACGGAGAAUAGAAGGAAGCUGCGAAUCUAUCUAGUGGCGGACGGGUGAGUAACGCGUGGGUAACCAACCCAUAACACCGGGACAACCCUGGGAAACUGGGGCUAAUACCGGAUACGUUCUUCUUGGGGCAUCCUGAGGGGAAGAAAGGUGGCCUCUGAAUAUGCUGCCGAUUAUGGACGGACCCGCGUCUGAUUAGCUAGUUGGUAGGGUAACGGCCUACCAAGGCGACGAUCAGUAGCCGGCCUGAGAGGGUGACCGGCCACACUGGGACUGAGACACGGCCCAGACUCCUACGGGAGGCAGCAGUGGGGAAUAUUGCGCAAUGGGCGAAAGCCUGACGCAGCAACGCCGCGUGAGUGAGGAAGGCCUUCGGGUUGUAAAGUUCUUUCGGGAGGGGAACAACCGUGGCAGGGAAUGGCCGCGGGAUGACGUGAAUCCCGGAAUAACGCCCCGGCUAACUACGUGCCAGCCGCGGC
Molecule: ribosomal RNA, 533 nt
Filed under: uncultured bacterium
Lineage: Bacteria
Description: bacterial SSU rRNA
Rfam family: Bacterial small subunit ribosomal RNA
Source: RNAcentral